RNAcentral lists this ribosomal RNA (253 nucleotides) under uncultured bacterium. RNAcentral describes it as "partial 16S ribosomal RNA". It matches the Rfam family "Bacterial small subunit ribosomal RNA", at positions 524 to 776 of the family's 1533-position model. The record is from RNAcentral.
UACAGAGGGGGCAAGCGUUGUUCGGAAUUACUGGGCGUAAAGGGCGCGUAGGCGGCCCGCUAAGUCGAACGUGAAAUCCCCGAGCUCAACUCGGGAACUGCGUCCGAUACUGGUGGGCUUGAAUCCGGGAGAGGGAUGCGGAAUUCCAGGUGUAGCGGUGAAAUGCGUAGAUAUCGGAAGGAACAUCAGUGGCGAAAGCGGCUUCCUGGGCCAGUACCGACGUUCAGGCACGAAAGCGUGGGGAGCAAACAGG